GACGAACGCUGGCGGCGUGCUUAACACAUGCAAGUCGAACGGAAAGGCCCUGCUUUUGUGGGGUGCUCGAGUGGCGAACGGGUGAGUAACACGUGAGUAACCUGCCCUUGACUUUGGGAUAACUUCAGGAAACUGGGGCUAAUACCGGAUAGGAGCUCCUGCUGCAUGGUGGGUGUUGGAAAGUUUCGGCGGUUGGGGAUGGACUCGCGGCUUAUCAGCUUGUUGGUGGGGUAGUGGCUUACCAAGGCUUUGACGGGUAGCCGGCCUGAGAGGGUGACCGGCAACAUUGGGACUGAGAGACGGCCCAGACUCCUACGGGAGGCAGCAGUGGGGAAUAUUGCACAAUAGGCGGAAGCCUGAUGCAGCAACGCCGCGUGCGGGAUGACGGCCUUCGGGUUGUAAACCGCUUUCGCCUGUGACGAAGCGUGAGUGACGGUAAUGGGUAAAGAAGCACCGGCUAACUACGUG
RNAcentral lists this ribosomal RNA (468 nucleotides) under uncultured bacterium. RNAcentral's name for it is "partial 16S ribosomal RNA". It matches the Rfam family "Bacterial small subunit ribosomal RNA", at positions 28 to 507 of the family's 1533-position model. The record is from RNAcentral.